GCCUCUGUGGUGGAGUGCUAGCACGUCCAUCUGGGAAAUGGGAUUUGUAGGUUCGUAUCCUACCGGCGCA
Molecule: transfer RNA, 70 nt
Filed under: Oryctes borbonicus
Lineage: Eukaryota; Metazoa; Arthropoda; Insecta; Coleoptera; Scarabaeidae
Rfam family: tRNA
About the family: Transfer RNA (tRNA) molecules are approximately 80 nucleotides in length.
Source: Rfam by way of RNAcentral